AGGAUGAACGCUGGCGGCGUGCUUAACACAUGCAAGUCGAACGAUGAAGCCGGGAGCUUGCUCCUGGUGGAUUAGUGGCGAACGGGUGAGUAACACGUGAGUAACCUGCCCCAGACUCUGGGAUAAGCACUGGAAACGGUGUCUAAUACCGGAUACGAGCUUCAGCCGCAUGGCUAGGAGCUGGAAAGAAUUUCGGUCUGGGAUGGACUCGCGGCCUAUCAGGUAGUUGGUGAGGUAAAGGCUCACCAAGCCGACGACGGGUAGCCGGCCUGAGAGGGUGACCGGCCACACUGGGACUGAGACACGGCCCAGACUCCUACGGGAGGCAGCAGUGGGGAAUAUUGCACAAUGGGCGAAAGCCUGAUGCAGCAACGCCGCGUGAGGGACGAAGGCCUUCGGGUUGUAAACCUCUUUUAGUAGGGAAGAAGCGAAAGUGACGGUACCUGCAGAAAAAGCACCGGCUAACUACGUGCCAGC
RNAcentral lists this ribosomal RNA (477 nucleotides) under Frigoribacterium sp. j18. RNAcentral's name for it is "bacterial SSU rRNA". It matches the Rfam family "Bacterial small subunit ribosomal RNA", at positions 26 to 512 of the family's 1533-position model. The record is from RNAcentral. Lineage: Bacteria; Bacillati; Actinomycetota; Actinomycetes; Micrococcales; Microbacteriaceae.